Small nuclear RNA from Manis pentadactyla (Chinese pangolin), 107 nucleotides. NCBI's taxonomy places the organism in Eukaryota, Metazoa, Chordata, Mammalia, Pholidota, Manidae. The record is from RefSeq and is a predicted model, not a curated record.
GUGCUCACUUCGGCAGCACCUAUACUAAAAUAGGAACGAUAUGAAGAAGAUUAGCAUGGCCCCUGCGCAAGGAUGACAUGCAAAUCUGUGAAGCAUUCCAUAUAUAU